GGGGUUGUGGUUCAGCGGUGGAGCGCUCGCCUAGCUCGUGCGAGGUUCUGGGGUCCAUCCUCAGCAACCACA
This 72-nucleotide transfer RNA is filed under the name Marmota monax (woodchuck). RNAcentral's name for it is "tRNA.Ala". The record is from RNAcentral. Lineage: Eukaryota; Metazoa; Chordata; Mammalia; Rodentia; Sciuridae.